UCCGCUUCUGCUGUCUUGAUGACGCACAGUGCUGGCGCAAGUCGUCUUGCGCCAGGCGACUGGGUCUGAGGAGGCAGGAGUUAUUCAUUCCCUUAAGCUUUCAGGCCGGGGGGAGAAUCUUUCAGGUGGUAGCUGCAAGAACUCUUAGUAUGUUGACCUCACCUCUGCCUUCCACAUACCACUACCAGUGAGGAAUUAGGAAUGCAUGAGAAGAGUGUCCAAGAAGAGUGUCCUCAUUCAUGCAAGGCUUAAGAGAGAAUGCAGGUCAACAUCACCAUGUCAAUCAGAGCGUAGUUUGGAACCAGCAGCAGCAGCAGCUCCCCAGACCUACUGAAUCAGAAUCU
This 344-nucleotide long non-coding RNA is filed under the name Homo sapiens (human). RNAcentral describes it as "HSALNT0401797". The record is from RNAcentral. Lineage: Eukaryota; Metazoa; Chordata; Mammalia; Primates; Hominidae.